RNAcentral lists this ribosomal RNA (440 nucleotides) under uncultured bacterium. Its description in RNAcentral is "partial 16S ribosomal RNA". It matches the Rfam family "Bacterial small subunit ribosomal RNA", at positions 338 to 795 of the family's 1533-position model. The record is from RNAcentral.
CCUACGGGAGGCAGCAGUAGGGAAUAUUGCACAAUGGGGGAAACCCUGAAGCAGCAACGCCGCGUGGAGGAUGAAGGUUUUCGGAUUGUAAACUCCUUUUGUUAGAGAAGAUAAUGACGGUAUCUAACGAAUAAGCACCGGCUAACUCCGUGCCAGCAGCCGCGGUAAUACGGAGGGUGCAAGCGUUACUCGGAAUCACUGGGCGGAAAGAGCGCGGAGGCGGGAUAGCAAGUCAGAUGUGAAAUCCUAUGGCUUAACCAUAGAACUGCAUUUGAUACUGUUACUCUAGAGUAUGGGAGAGGUAGGUAGAAUUCCUGGUGUAGGGGUGAAAUGCGUAGAGAUCAAGAGGAAUACUCAUUGCGAAGGCGACCUGCUAGAACAAGACUGACGCUGAUGUGCGAAAGCGUGGGGAGCAAACAGGAUUAGAUACCCUUGUAGUC